GAGAGUAUAGCUCAGUGGUAGAGCGUGUGAUUAGCAUGCACAAUGUCCUGGGUUCAAUCCCCAGUACCUCCA
This is a transfer RNA of Camelus ferus (Wild Bactrian camel), 72 nucleotides long. It matches the Rfam family "tRNA". From Rfam's summary of the family: Transfer RNA (tRNA) molecules are approximately 80 nucleotides in length. NCBI's taxonomy places the organism in Eukaryota, Metazoa, Chordata, Mammalia, Artiodactyla, Camelidae. The record is from Rfam.